This 482-nucleotide ribosomal RNA is filed under the name uncultured bacterium. Its description in RNAcentral is "partial 16S ribosomal RNA". It matches the Rfam family "Bacterial small subunit ribosomal RNA", at positions 30 to 507 of the family's 1533-position model. The record is from RNAcentral.
AUUGAACGCUGGCGGCAUGCCUUACACAUGCAAGUCGAACGGUAACGGGCCUUCGGGUGCCGACGAGUGGCGAACGGGUGAGUAAUACAUCGGAACGUGCCCGAUCGUGGGGGAUAACGAGGCGAAAGCUUUGCUAAUACCGCAUACGAUCUACGGAUGAAAGCAGGGGACCGCAAGGCCUUGCGCGGACGGAGCGGCCGAUGGCAGAUUAGGUAGUUGGUGGGAUAAAAGCUUACCAAGCCGACGAUCUGUAGCUGGUCUGAGAGGAUGAUCAGCCACACUGGAACUGAGACACGGCCCAGACUCCUACGGGAGGCAGCAGUGGGGAAUUUUGGACAAUGGGCGCAAGCCUGGUCCAGCCAUGCCGCGUGCAGGAUGAAGGCCUUCGGGUUGUAAACUGCUUUUGUACGGAACGAAAAGCCUUCUUUUAAUACAGGAGGGUCAUGACGGUACCGUAAGAAUAAGCACCGGCUAACUACGUG